ACACACAUCUGAAGAUUUAUUUUUAGCAUUAUCGAAUCUCUGAGCGAAAACACUUGCAACUUUCCUCAGACACAUACACACACACACACUGUAGGAUAAAUAUUAACCCUGUUUUCCUUUUUCACCACCCUUCAUCUCUGAUUGAGACA
This is a long non-coding RNA of Melanotaenia boesemani (Boeseman's rainbowfish), 149 nucleotides long. RefSeq lists it as uncharacterized. The record is from RefSeq and is a predicted model, not a curated record. NCBI's taxonomy places the organism in Eukaryota, Metazoa, Chordata, Actinopteri, Atheriniformes, Melanotaeniidae. The transcript is spliced from 4 exons.